This 770-nucleotide ribosomal RNA is filed under the name Owenweeksia hongkongensis. RNAcentral's name for it is "bacterial SSU rRNA". It matches the Rfam family "Bacterial small subunit ribosomal RNA", at positions 1 to 766 of the family's 1533-position model. Lineage: Bacteria; Pseudomonadati; Bacteroidota; Flavobacteriia; Flavobacteriales; Owenweeksiaceae. The record is from RNAcentral.
UUUAUGUUUUGAUUCUGCUCAGGAUGACCGCUAGCGGCAGGCCUAAUACAUGCAAGUCGGACGGGAUCCAUCGAGAGCUUGCUCGAAGAUGUGAGAGUGGCGCACGGGUGCGUAACGCGUGAGCAACCUCCUCUAUCAGGGGGAUAGCCUCUCGAAAAGAGAGAUUAACACCGCAUAACAUCAACAGUUGGCAUGUUCGGUUGAUAAAAUAUUUAUAGGAUAGAGAUGGGCUCGCGUGACAUUAGCUAGUUGGUAGGGUAACGGCUUACCAAGGCGACGAUGUCUAGGGGCUCUGAGAGGAGAAUCCCCCCACACUGGUACUGAGACACGGACCAGACUCCUACGGGAGGCAGCAGUAAGGAAUAUUGGUCAAUGGGCGGAAGCCUGAACCAGCCAUGCCGCGUGCAGGAUGACUGCCCUAUGGGUUGUAAACUGCUUUUGUCCAGGAAUAAACCUAAAUACGUGUAUUUAGCUGAAUGUACUGGAAGAAUAAGGAUCGGCUAACUCCGUGCCAGCAGCCGCGGUAAUACGGAGGAUCCGAGCGUUAUCCGGAUUUAUUGGGUUUAAAGGGUGCGUAGGCGGCCUAUUAAGUCAGGGGUGAAAUACGGUGGCUCAACCAUCGCAGUGCCUUUGAUACUGAUGGGCUUGAAUCCAUUUGAAGUGGGCGGAAUAAGACAAGUAGCGGUGAAAUGCAUAGAUAUGUCUUAGAACUCCGAUUGCGAAGGCAGCUCACUAAGCUGGUAUUGACGCUGAUGCACGAAAGGCCUUAC